UAAGCUCUUCAGGGCGGGGUGAAAGUCCCCACCGGCGGUAUAGCCCGCGAACCGUAAUGGUUGAUUCGGUGAAACUCCGAGGCCGACAGUAUAGUCUGGAUGAAAGAAGAUGAAC
Molecule: non-coding RNA, 115 nt
Filed under: Clostridium pasteurianum
Lineage: Bacteria; Bacillati; Bacillota; Clostridia; Eubacteriales; Clostridiaceae
Also listed under: 1 other name
Description: FMN sequence
Rfam family: FMN riboswitch aptamer (RFN element)
About the family: The RFN element is a highly conserved domain that is found frequently in the 5'-untranslated regions of prokaryotic mRNAs that encode for flavin mononucleotide (FMN) biosynthesis and transport proteins. This element is a metabolite-dependent riboswitch that directly binds FMN in the absence of proteins. In Bacillus subtilis, the riboswitch most likely controls gene expression by causing premature transcription termination within the 5' untranslated region of the ribDEAHT operon and precluding access to the ribosome-binding site of ypaA mRNA.
Source: RNAcentral